CAGCCGCCGCGGUAAAACGAACCGUGCGAACGUUAUUCGGAAUCACUGGGCUUAAAGCGCGUGUAGGCGGCUCGGCGCGUCGGCUGCUGAAAUCCCCCGGCUCAACCGGGGAACGGGCACCGAUACGGCCGGGCUGGAGGGGGGUAGGGGGGCCUGGAACUUCCGGUGGAGCGGUGAAAUGCGUUGAGAUCGGAAGGAACGCCCGCGGCGAAAGCGAGGCCCUGGACCCUUUCUGACGCUGAGACGCGAAAGCCAGGGGAGCGAACGGGAUUAGAUACCCCUGUAGUCCCUGUCUCUUAUA
RNAcentral lists this ribosomal RNA (301 nucleotides) under uncultured bacterium. Its description in RNAcentral is "partial 16S ribosomal RNA". It matches the Rfam family "Bacterial small subunit ribosomal RNA", at positions 509 to 807 of the family's 1533-position model. The record is from RNAcentral.